This 327-nucleotide ribosomal RNA is filed under the name uncultured eukaryote. Its description in RNAcentral is "partial 18S ribosomal RNA". It matches the Rfam family "Eukaryotic small subunit ribosomal RNA", at positions 1470 to 1796 of the family's 1831-position model. The record is from RNAcentral.
CCCUUAGAUGUUCUGGGCCGCACACGCGCUACACUGAAGGAGGCAGCGUGUACUCCUGGAUCGAAAGAUUUGGGUAACCCGCGAAUCUCCUUCGUGCUAGGGAUUGAGGUUUGCAAUUAUCCUUCAUGAACGAGGAAUUCCCAGUAAGUGCAAGUCAUAAGCUUGCGCUGACUACGUCCCUGCCCUUUGUACACACCGCCCGUCGCUACUACCGAUUGAAUGAUUUAGUGAGGACUUCGGACUGGGACCGAUGCGGCUCUCGGGCUGCGUCGGUAUUCUGGAAAGAUGUCCAAACUGUAUCAUUUAGAGGAAGUAAAANUCGUAACA